GGGGAAUAUUGGGCAAUGGGCGAAAGCCUGACCCAGCAACGCCGCGUGAGGGAAGAAGGGUUUCGGCUCGUAAACCUCUGUCCUAUGGGACGAAGGAAGUGACGGUACCAUAGGAGGAGGCCCCGGCUAACUACGUGCCAGCAGCCGCGGUAAUACGUAGGGGGCGAGCGUUGUCCGGAAUGAUUGGGCGUAAAGGGCGCGUAGGCGGCCUGCUAAGUCUGAAGUGAAAGUCCUGCUUUCAAGGUGGGAAGUGCUUUGGAUACUGGUGGGCUGGAGUGCAGGAGAGGAAAGCGGAAUUACCGGUGUAGCGGUGAAAUGCGUAGAGAUCGGGAGGAACACCAGUGGCGAAGGCGGCCUACUGGGCACCAACUGACGCUGAGGCUCGAAAGUGUGGGUAGCAAACAGGAUUAGAUACCCUGGUAGUCCACACUGUAAACGAUGAUUACUAGGUGUUGGAGGAUUGACCCCUUCAGUGCCGCAGUUAACACAAUAAGUAAUCCACCUGGGGAGUACGACCGCAAGGUUGAAACUCAAAGGAAUUGACGGGGGCCCGCACAAGCAGUGGAGUAUGUGGUUUAAUUCGACGCAACGCGAAGAACCUUACCAAGUCUUGACAUCCCUUGACGAUGCUGGAAACAGUAUUUCUCUUCGGAGCAAGGAGACAGGUGGUGCAUGGUUGUCGUCAGCUCGUGUCGUGAGAUGUUGGGUUAAGUCCCGCAACGAGCGCAACCCUUAUGGUCAGUUACUACGCAAGAGGACUCUGGCCAGACUGCCGUUGACAAAACGGAGGAAGGUGGGGAUGACGUCAAAUCAUCAUGCCCUUUAUGACUUGGGCUACACACGUACUACAAUGGCGUUAAACAAAGAGAAGCAAGACCGCGAGGUGGAGCAAAACUCAGAAACAACGUCCCAGUUCGGACUGCAGGCUGCAACUCGCCUGCACGAAGUCGGAAUUGCUAGUAAUCGUGGAUCAGCAUGCCACGGUGAAUACGUUCCCG
RNAcentral lists this ribosomal RNA (998 nucleotides) under uncultured bacterium. RNAcentral describes it as "bacterial SSU rRNA". It matches the Rfam family "Bacterial small subunit ribosomal RNA", at positions 356 to 1376 of the family's 1533-position model. The record is from RNAcentral.